CAUGCAAGUCGAGCGCUACCUUCGGGUGGAGCGGCGGACGGGUUAGUAACGCGUGGGAACAUACCCAACGCUACGGAAUAGCCUCGGGAAACUGAGAGUAAUACCGUAUACGCCCUUCGGGGGAAAGAUUUAUCGGUGAUGGAUUGGCCCGCGUUAGAUUAGAUAGUUGGUGGGGUAAUGGCCUACCAAGUCUACGAUCUAUAGCUGGUUUGAGAGGAUGAUCAGCAACACUGGGACUGAGACACGGCCCAGACUCCUACGGGAGGCAGCAGUGGGGAAUCUUAGACAAUGGGCGCAAGCCUGAUCUAGCGAUGCCGCGUGAGUGACGAAGGCCUUAGGGUCGUAAAGCUCUUUCGCCAGGGAUGAUAAUGACAGUACCUGGUAAAGAAACCCCGGCUAACUCCGUGCCAGCAGCCGCGGUAAUACGGAGGGGGUUAGCGUUGUUCGGAAUUACUGGGCGUAAAGCGCACGUAGGCGGAUUAGAAAGCUAGAGGUGAAAUCCUAGGGCUCAACCCUGGAACUGCCUUUAGAACUACUAGUCUAGAGUUCGAGAGAGGUGAGUGGAAUUCCAAGUGUAGAGGUGAAAUUCGUAGAUAUUUGGAGGAACACCAGUGGCGAAGGCGGCUCACUGGCUCGAUACUGACG
Molecule: ribosomal RNA, 645 nt
Filed under: uncultured bacterium
Lineage: Bacteria
Description: bacterial SSU rRNA
Rfam family: Bacterial small subunit ribosomal RNA
Source: RNAcentral